Molecule: ribosomal RNA, 446 nt
Filed under: uncultured bacterium
Lineage: Bacteria
Description: partial 16S ribosomal RNA
Rfam family: Bacterial small subunit ribosomal RNA
Source: RNAcentral
CCUACGGUGAGCAGCAGUCGAGAAUCAUUCACAAUGGGGGAAACCCUGAUGGUGCGACGCCGCGUGGGGGAAUGAAGGUCUUCGGAUUGUAAACCCCUGUCAUGUGGGAGCAAAUUAAAAAGAUAGUACCACAAGAGGAAGAGACGGAUAACUCUGUGCCAGCAGACGCGGUAAUACAGAGGUCUCAAGCGUUGUUCGGAAUCACUGGGCGUAAAGCGUGCGUAGGCUGUUUCGUAAGUCGUGUGUGAAAGGCGCGGGCUCAACCCGCGGACGGCACAUGAUACUGCGAGACUAGAGUAAUGGAGGGGGAACCGGAAUUCUCGGUGUAGCAGUGAAAUGCGUAGAUAUCGAGAGGAACACUCGUGGCGAAGGCGGGUUCCUGGACAUUAACUGACGCUGAGGCACGAAGGCCAGGGGAGCGAAAGGGAUUAGAUACCCCUGUAGUC